Molecule: ribosomal RNA, 887 nt
Filed under: marine metagenome
Description: bacterial SSU rRNA
Rfam family: Bacterial small subunit ribosomal RNA
Source: RNAcentral
AGAGUUUGAUCCUGGCUCAGGACGAACGCUGGCGGCGUGCUUGAUACAUGCAAGUCAAGGAGAACGUUUCCUUCGGGAAACUAUUAAACUGGCGAACGGGUGAGUAACACGUAGGCAACCUACCCUAGAGAUUGGGAUAACUCCGGGAAACCGGGGCUAAUACCGAAUAAUGCAGCGGAUCCUUCGGGAUAUUGUUGUUAAAGCGGGCUUCGGCUCGCACUUUUGGAUGGGCCUGCGCCCGAUUAGCUUGUUGGUAAGGUAAUGGCUUACCAAGGCCAUGAUCGGUAGCUGGUCUGAGAGGAUGAUCAGCCACACUGGGAUUGAGAUACGGCCCAGACUUCUACGGAAGGCAGCAGUAAGGAAUUUUGCGCAAUGGACGAAAGUCUGACGCAGCAACGCCGCGUGAUCGAUGAAGCUUCUAGGAGUGUAAAGAUCUGUCGUAAGGGAAGAAAAACCUGGAUGUAAAUAAUGUUCAGAUUUGACGGUACCUUUCAAGAAAGCACCGGCUAACUUCGUGCCAGCAGCCGCGGUAAUACGAGGGGUGCUAGCGUUGUCCGGAAUAACUGGGCGUAAAGGGUCCGUAGGCGUUUUACCAAGUUGAUUGUUAAAUCCACCGGCUUAACCGGUGACCUGCAAUCAAAACUGGUAGAAUAGAAUAUGUGAGAGGAAUGUGGAAUUCCUGGUGUAGCGGUGACAUGCGUAGAUAUCACGAGGAACACCGAUGGCGACGCAGCAUUCUGGCACAAUAUUGACGCUGAGGACGAAAGCGUGGGGAGCGAACAGAUUAGAUACCCUGGUAGUCCACGCCGUAACGAUGAGUACUGAUGGUGGAGAUUCGACCCUUUCACUAUCGGAGCUAACGCGUUAAGUACUCCGCCUGGGGACUA